AAAGUCUGUGAUGGAAUUUGGUUGGAGUUUACAUUGACCAGGAACAAUCGCAGCUGAAAUUCUUGCUGGAUCGUGUCAUUUUUUAUUUGCAUCAGUCUAAGGAAUGCAUGGAGUCCAUCCGAACCUGUUAUCAUCCUUGCCAUCUGUUUCUGGAAUGCGCCAAGAGCUUAACCGUUACUUCGGUACAGGUACACGUCGGUAAGAUGAAUAAUACUGGGGACACGUUUGCCGACUAGUUUGAGGCGAAUAUCUCCGGGCGUUGGGAGAGUGUGGUUUGCUCCAAGCGCUGCCUCGAGUCCGGUGGAAUAAUCGGCGCAGAUACGCAUGUAUGCCAAUGAUAAGGAGCUGCCCGAUCGGAGAAUUUGAUGAGCGUGAUAAUAUCCAUACGUUGGAGCAGUUCCGAUUCUUCUUCUACUUUUUAAGCGGCACAGAAAGGAACCGCUCGCUUGUAUCAAAAAAUUGACUGCCCAUCGUGUUUUAGGUUCAGACGAACUUUAGUUUUAGUGCAGUGACUCAGAUGUUAUUAAAAAAAACUUCGAAGCCCCGAGUUAGGAAGUGCUAAUCAUUACAAAGGAACUUGGAAAGUUUCACCUGAUUGCAGUGUGCAGCAAGUGGUUUUAACCAAAGAUCGAAUGCAUUCAUCAGUCCAUUCCAAUUACGUUUAGAUAUUUGACCGAAAUUACGUAGAAAUACUCCAUUCGAACUGGCUUAUGAUGUUCAAUGUACUGAACUCCCCUACCGAAUCAAGAGGUUCUUCAUGCACGAAUGUUACAUCCAUUUGUGUGGAAUUGAACGUAGGUCAAUAAUCUUAUAAUUUUUUUGUGUGAUCACCGAAAUGUCGAAACAAAAGUCGAGCUUAAGAUCCGCUUAGGAGCCGUAGAAGUUGACGGAAACAUAUCUCGUACGACUCUGUAU
This is a long non-coding RNA of Toxorhynchites rutilus septentrionalis, 915 nucleotides long. RefSeq lists it as uncharacterized. NCBI's taxonomy places the organism in Eukaryota, Metazoa, Arthropoda, Insecta, Diptera, Culicidae. The transcript has 3 exons. The record is from RefSeq and is a predicted model, not a curated record.